AGGGUUUGAUCAUGGCUCAGAACGUACGCUGGCGGCACGCCUAACACAUGCAAGUCGAACGCAGUAGCAAUACUGAGUGGCGAACGGGUGAGUAUAAUGUGGGUAUCUGCCUUUUGGUUUGGAAUAACACGAGGAAACUUGUGCUAAUACCGGAUAAGCCUUUACAGGGAAAGCUUUAGCGCCGAAAGAUGAGUCCACACUUGAUUAGCUAGUUGGUAAGGUAAUGGCUUACCAAGGCUACGAUCAAUAGCUGAUCUGAGAGGAUGAUCAGCCACAUUGGGACUGAGACACGGCCCAGACUCCUACGGGAGGCAGCAGUGGGGAAUCUUGCACAGUGGGGGAAACCCUGAUGCAGCGAUGCCGCGUGAGUGAAGAAGGCCUUUGGGUUGUAAAGCUCUUUCGUCGGGGAAGAAAAUGACUGUACCCGAAUAAGAAGGUCCGGCUAACUUCGUGCCAGCAGCCGCGGUAAUAC
This 472-nucleotide ribosomal RNA is filed under the name uncultured bacterium. RNAcentral describes it as "bacterial SSU rRNA". It matches the Rfam family "Bacterial small subunit ribosomal RNA", at positions 8 to 526 of the family's 1533-position model. The record is from RNAcentral.